Molecule: ribosomal RNA, 488 nt
Filed under: uncultured Microbacterium sp.
Lineage: Bacteria; Bacillati; Actinomycetota; Actinomycetes; Micrococcales; Microbacteriaceae
Description: partial 16S ribosomal RNA
Source: RNAcentral
CACGUAGUUAGCCGGUGCUUUUCUGAAGGUACCGUCACCCGAAGGCUUCUUCCCAACUAAAAGAGGUUUACAACCCGAAGGCCGUCAUCCCUCACGCGGCGUUGCUGCAUCAGGCUUGCGCCCAUUGUGCAAUAUUCCCCACUGCUGCCUCCCGUAGGAGUCUGGGCCGUGUCUCAGUCCCAGUGUGGCCGGUCACCCUCUCAGGCCGGCUACCCGUCGACGCCUUGGUGAGCCAUUACCUCACCAACAAGCUGAUAGGCCGCGAGCCCCUCCCGAACCGAAAAAUCUUUCCCACAAGUAACCAUGCGGUUCAAGUGCAUAUCCGGUAUUAGCAGCUGUUUCCAACUGUUAUCCCGAAGUUCGGGGCAGGUUGCUCACGUGUUACUCACCCGUUCGCCACUAAUCCACCCAGCAAGCUGGGCUUCAUCGUUCGACUUGCAUGUGUUAAGCACGCCGCCAGCGUUCAUCCUGAGCCAGGAUCAAACUCU